RNAcentral lists this long non-coding RNA (12697 nucleotides) under Panax ginseng (ginseng). Its description in RNAcentral is "long non-coding RNA (PGIN_LNC018212)". Lineage: Eukaryota; Viridiplantae; Streptophyta; Magnoliopsida; Apiales; Araliaceae. The record is from RNAcentral.
CUCAGAAAACCAAACCCUAGUUAUCGAUCUCUGCUGCAAUGCUGCCAAAGUUUGACCCAUCUCAAGUCGUCGACGUCUACGUCCUUGUGGUCUUAUUCAUCCGCUUUCGGUGCUUAACGGAGGUGUGAGGUGUUAGAAUCAUUGGCUCUCGAUUCGAUUCUUCAUCCGCUUUCGGUGCUUCUGAUCUUCCAGGUCUUCGUCCUCAUGGUGCCUCCUUCUCUAUCAAGGUCGAAUCUUUCUCUCACUUUCCCAGGAUCUAGGGAUUUCUUACACUGGUUUUUACCCAAUAUUUUAAAUUUUAUUUUGUCUUUUACUCAAUUUUACUUGCCUAUUCUUAUUUUUUUCUAAUGCUACUUCUGUAUAUAUAAUUUUCGUUGGUCGGUUUUAUUGAUUUGAAUGUUAAUUUGAUGCCGUUGGACUGUGUUUUAUGUAAUUAUUUGGAUAAGCUAGGGUCAUUGAAUUCAAGUUUUACCCUUUUUUUGCUGAACUUGUUGGUUGAUUUGUUCUUUCAAUAGAUAUUGAGUUUUGUAUAACUUGUUUAAGUUUCUGUUUUUAAAAUAUUGGUAUCUAUACUGAUUCAAUUCGUGUAUAAAAGAAUGAUUUUUAUCAGUUUUUUAAACUACUUUGUUCUUUACUGGGGUGGGGUGUAUGUUCUGUUUAGCUUUUGUUUGAGCAUGCUGGCAUAAAACAGUUUCUUUAGUAUGUUUAUCAAGUCUUUUAUAUUGUGUAUUCCGUUAAAUGAAGCUGGGAUUUUGAUAUAGGGUUGUUGAUACUUAUGUUAAAUAUGUCCUAAUUCUUAGCAUGGUACUUAAGUGGUUUCUGCUGUAAAUAUGGACGUAAAGAGAUUUGUAGUCUUAAGGUGGGCAUGCAAGUCGUGACUGACUGCAGAUAAAGAAACAUACUUACAGGGAAACUCUAAUAAUUCAUUUUCCUGACGGAUGAAAACUGACUUUUUAGUAUGGUUAUGUUCAUUUUAAUUGUAUUUUAUGUAGAUUCAGUUAAAUGAUUUUUGGAGUAGGAUAAAGGGUUGUUACUCUCCAAAUUCUUAGGAGAUUAAUAUUUAAGUGGUUUCUACUGUAAAAAUGGACAUAAAGUUAUAUAUAGGCUUAAGGUGGGAAUGGAAGUAGUUGUUUUGGCUGCCCAUAAAGGAACAUACUUGUAUGCAACCCUAGUUAUUAUUUUUCCGUACAAAAAAGGUGUGAUUAUGCUAGGAUGCAACUUCAACACCAGACUGUGCGACAUAUGGUGCAAAAUUUUCUGCACGACAUUUUAAGCUAAAUUCUCCUGUGUCCAAGUAUUACUUUGAGUGCUAAAUUGCUAAUACAUAUUGGUUACUUGUUUCGCCAGAUCUUUGUACCUUCUUUGAACAUGUGCACUGUUGGUAGCUGUUCUUUACUGUUACAUGUUCUCUUGGAUUUAGUGGUGUGUUAGAAGUUGUGGUUACCUGAACUAAUCUCAGUUCAAACUGAUGUUGCUCAUUCAAAAACCGAGUUGAGGUAAUUUCAAUUUGAACUUUUCUUUUGGUGAUAUUUCUAUUCUUAACUGAACUUUUAAAUCAAUUUAUGUACAUCUGUUCUCUUUUAUGUGAAAAAGAGAAUUUAAACUUGUUUUGAAGCACAGGAGUCUGUUCCAGUAAAAUUGUCAUUAAUCAAUCUCUUUGGUAAAAUAACAGACCUGUAAAUAUAUAGGAGCUACUCUAUGCUUAUAAUGUACUGCCUAAAGAGGAGCAGAUAUUGCUUCAUUUGCUUUUCUUUUUUGUUUUUGUAUGCAAAGGCUACUUUUAACAAAGAUUUUUUAAGUGUUUCCUUUCUAUGAUAUUGAGCAUUAUAUGUUAUCUCAAAUGUUCUCAUCUUCAAUGCGAUGAUCCUUAAAAUCUAAUCAAAGAGGAAUCUCCUUAUCUACUGAAAAGGAAAGGGUGUCUGCUAGUGAGCGGGAUGAUAUUUCAAAUUUGAUGGAACAACAUGAUCAAUUUGUUGGCUCAUUGCAGUCUCGUUUAGCAAAAUUGCAGGUAUGAUUCUGAAUAAACAAAUGUUGAUAAAAUUUUCAAAUGUCUAGUUUAGGUUGUAUGUUGAGGGCAGAUUGUUCCUUUUAUAUUUUGGACGAAUGGUUGAUCAUUAUUUUCAUUUGAGUGCCAGUACAUCUAUAUGAUAUUUCUGGCAGUGGGCUGCUAAUCCUGCAACUGUUGGUUCAGUGACUUUAGGCAUUUCCUUCUCCGCGCCAUUCCUCCAUGUUCCUCAUUCUCUUGAAGCAUUAACCAUCAUGUGCUUUUCUUUUCUGUUAUUUUCUGUCAUAUCUCUGUGACUCCUAGUGAUGCAAUUAGUGGGAUUUUUGCCAGUUGCAAUUGGACUACAGAUUGUUGUCUUUCUUAUGGUUAGACCCGAACCAGGUGAAGUGUUUUAUGGAAGUAGUUGCUGGUUUUAGAAGUCUGGUGUGACAAUUUUUUGUGAAUUGUCUCUUUGUUUGUUGUGCUUAUGUGACGCUCCCAAAAUAGGUAUACAUCACCCAUUUUGAGUUGUCAAUAACAUGGUACAGAAAGAGCUACAACUUUAUUAAUACAACACAUAAACUGUGAGUUUAAAUACAAAUAUUGUCAUCUAGACAAUAUUCACACCCAAAUAAGUUCUCAUUACAAUUAUUGAUACAUUAUUUUACAAAAAUGGUGAGUACUACUAAAAUGACUUUUUAGAACCUUCAUUCCAUACCCCGACUAGUACUCGCUACAUUCUCGCCUCCUGAGAAGAAAAAUGGAACAAAAAAGAAAAUGGUGAGCUCAACUAGCCCAGUAAAGAAUAUUAUGACUAAGAAAAUAUAGAACAAAUUAUCGUUAGUCUUCAACAGGGAAAAAUCUGAUAAAAUACAAUAGACAACAAGUUUCAGAUUAAUAUUCGCAGCGAAAAUAACAAUUCAUAGAAGAGUUACGUAGAGAAUGAAAUCUACUAUAAUCUAUGAAUUUAAAAGUCCAUCAUCAAUAUUUUAUCCCUGUAACACCAAUCAAUAUUCAUCUUGAAUCAAAUAUUAAUCUUUGCACUACAGGCCAACGAUAUUCAUCAGUUGGUCAUGUUCAUCUCAACACUUGUACUUUUUUGCACUACGGGUCAAAGAUAUUCAUAAGAAAAUCAACCAUCUUUGCACUACAGGCCAAAGAUAUUCAGUAAUAUCAUCAUUUAGGACUGAGGAUGAUGAAAAAUAUUUUAAAGAAAACGAAUCCAGUGAAACAAAAGAAUAAAUAUUAAGGAUUCGUACUUUAAACAGUCUAAGUUCAAAAAUACUUCAUAAAUAAUCAUAGUGAAGUAAAAUUCAAGAAUGAUCAAAACAUGGAUAUAAUCAAAGCUAGUAUCCAUAAUCGAUAUUUUGGAAAAAAAAGCAAAAAUUUAAUUUUUCUGUGAAUAGUGCUGUAUUCGUGAAUAGUGUCGUAUACGUGAAUAGUAACUUCGACACUAAAAGACAAUAAUUUCACAAGAAAAAUCUUACCAAUAAUUCGACAUAAUGAUAUUAGAAGAAAUAAUAUUAUUUUUAAAAAAAAAAAUAACAUUCCUUACCUCGAAAAGAAUAGUACUAUGCGUAUACUUGACAUCAUCGCACUCGUUCCUGCAUAUGAUCUUCUAUUCAACGCGUCAGCUACCACGUUUGCUUUUCCAGGAUGGUAUUGAAUGGUGUAGUUAUAAUCUUUUAACAGCUCGAGCCAACGUCGUUGCCGCAUGUUGAGUUCCUUUUGGGUGAAGAAAUAUUUGAGGUUUUUAUGGUCUGAAUAUAUCUCCACUUUCUCCCCAUAUAGAUAGUGCUUCCAGAUCUUUAGCGCGAAAACGACUGCUGCCAACUCUAGAUCAUGAGUAGAAUAAUUCAUCUCAUAUUCUUUAAAUUUUCGCGAGGCAUAGGCUAUAACUUUUCCAUGUUGCAUGAGAACACACUCUAACCCUUUGCCCGAAGCAUCGCUGUAGAUAACAAAUCCAUCCGAACCAGAUGAUAUUGUCAAAAUAGGUGUCGAAAUGAGUCUCCUCUUAAGCUCUUGAAAACUCUUCUCGCAUUUCUCGCUUCAUACGAAUUUGUAUCUUUCCGAGUCAACUGAGUUAAUGGAGUAGUGAUUUGAGAAAAUCCUUCCAUGAAUCUCCGAUAAUAACCAGCUAAGCCCAGAAAGCUACGUACUUCGGUCACCGUCUUCGGUUGCUCCCAAAUUUGUAUUGCUUCAAUCUUUGCUGGGUCAACAGAUACUCCAUGUUUUGACACCACGUGCCCAAGGAAUGCUACUUCCUCAAGCCAGAACUCGCAUUUCUUCAACUUGACAUAUAGCUUGUUUUCACGAAGCCUUUGGAGUACCAGCUUCAAAUGGUGCUCAUGAUCUUCACGGCUUUUGGAAUAUAUGAGGAUGUCAUCAAUAAAGACAACAACGAACUGAUUAAAAUAAUCAUUGAAUACUCGGUUCAUCAUAUCCAUGAAAGUCGCAAGAGCAUUAGUCAAUCUAAAAGACAUGAAUAAGAAUUCAUAAUGCCCGUACCGAGUUCUGAAGGCAGUCUUUGGAAUAUCCUCAGUUCUAAUCUUCAACUGAUGAUAUCCAGAACGAAGAUCGAUCUUUGAAAAGAAUUGUGCUCCUUGCAAUUGGUCAAACAGGUCAUCAAUGCGAGGUAGCGGAUACCUAUUCUUGAUAGUGACAUGGUUCAAUUCCCGGUAGUCAAUACAAAGUCGCAUACUCCCGUUUUUCUUCUUUACAAAUAAAACAGGAGUACCCCAAAGAGAUGUACUAGGACGAAUGAAACUGAUAUCCAACAACUCCUGUAGUUGGAUCUUUAACUCCUGAAGUUUAAUAGGAGCCAUUCGAUAUGAGGUUUUAGAAAUGGGCUUUGUACCAGGUUCAAGAUCAAUAAAGAAUUCAACUUCACGUUCUGGGGGUAGACCGAAAAGUUCUUCAAGAAAUACGUCAGAAAAUUUACUAACAAUAGGAAUAUUUUUCAAAUUCGACGUGUCUUUAUUCAAAUCCAUAACAUGGGCUAAGAAAUCUUGACAUUCGUUUUUCAAUAAACGAAUAACUUUAUUACUUGAUAUGACUGUGAUUGAUUUUAAUGGUUUAGUUGCUUGAAUUCGUAUAACAGGUUGGUUAGGAAUAUGAAAACUAACAACCUUACGAAAACAAUCAAUUUUGGCAUGAUGAGUAGUUAACCAAUCAAUCCCUAAAAUUACAUAAAAAGCAAGUAUCUUUAAAGAGAUAAGAUCAACAGGUAAUGUGAUGGUGUCAACUUGGAUCAAACAAGAUUUAUAAACAGUGGAUGUGAUAAAAAUUUCUCCUAACGGAGUCUCCACAGAUAAAUCAAAGUCUAAUUUCUCCGGAGUUAAGUUUAAACGUUGAGCACAAGCAGGAGAGAUAAAUGAAUGGGUAGCACUGGUAUCUAGUAAGGUAUAAACUUUGCAAGAAUUUAUGAUUAGCUUAUCCGUGAUCACCUCGUUUGGGUUCCUCGCAUUUUGACCAGUCACGACAAAUACUCUUUUAGGAACCAUUGACUUUGACUUUUCUAGGACAACCUUUUGAGUCACCAUCCUCGCUGGACUUGGUUUCGCUACCGUACAACUCGAGCGAUAUGUCCUUCCUUUCCACAAUUAUAACAUACCUUGAACUGUUGUGGACAGUUUGGACUGAUAUGCCCCUCUUUCUCACAUUUAUAGCAUACGACUGGUGGUCGUUCUCCUCCCUUAGAAUCAGUUACUGCUGGUGUUGACGUCUUCACAUGGUCAUUGUUGAAUCUCCUCUUUUUAAAAUCUCCUCCCGACUCGCUUCUUCUAUUUUCAUGGCCAUGAUUACCACCAGAGUGGUUACCGCCUUUGUCCGUAUUUUUCUUUCUCCGCUGGUUAUCGUUGUUCUGAUGACUGUUGUCACCGAUAUGAUCCUGGUUGUGGUCCCUCGUUUGAACGUACUCGUUAUCUCACUCUAAUAAUUGAGCCCUGUUGACAACAUCUGAAUAGAGAGAAUUUAUGAGAAAUGAGAUAUUGACGUAUGCCGGAUUUCAAACCUCUCAGAAAUAUCCGCGUCAUACGUUCCUCAUUCUCCACCAAAUGAGUUACAAACCUGGAUAACUCUGCAAACUUUGCCUCGUACUAGGACACCGUCAUGUUGUUUUGUUCCAAUCUAAUAAACUUCACUUCUUUCAUAUGACGAAUACUUUCAGGAAAGUACUUGUCAUUGAAGAGUUUCUGAAAUGUCUCCCAAGACAUGCUGAGUGCGGCUGGAUGGGUACGCUUCACAGAUUUUCACCAGUAAUCUGCCUCAUUACGGAACAUAAAGGUGGCGAAUGGAACCUUCUGUUCCUCCGUGCAUCCCAAGACAUCGAAUAUCUUGAUAAUUUUUUUGACCCACGUUUCUGCUUUAAUCGGAUCCGGCUUUCCCCAGAAUUCUGGUAGUCCCAACUCUAUGAACUGCUUGGCUAUGACAAACCGUGCGUUAUCAUUUUCACCUUUAUUUUAUGCACGAGUCUCCCUCGUCUGAUUUUGCAUGAACUGCAAAAAGUUUCUAAACAUUCCGUCGUUCAUCAUCUGCUCAGUGUUGUUGUUCACAGGAGGAACAUUGUCAGCCUGUUGCACGUUCUCCUUGUUGGUGGGUAAAAGUGUUUCCACGGUCUCAUUUGCUCCGCUGUUAACAUUCUCAGUCGACAUUCUCAAAUACUGCCAUAAAAUAAGGGUUAAUUAAAGAAAUCAACAUAUCACAUAAUAUCCAUAUAUACUAACCAACCAACAAAUAAGCUUAGGUAAGACACACUAGCGAAUGUUUUACUUGUCUCUCCCCUCCUAGUUCUAUUUCCCGAUCUCCGCCAGAGAUCAUAUCCCUAAGCUCUGAUACCAACUGUGACGCCCCCAAAAUAGGUAUACAUCACUCAUUUUGAGUUGUCAAUAACAUGGUACAAAAACAGCUACAACUUUAUUAAUACAACACAUAAACUGUGAGUUUAAAUACAAAUAUUGUCAUCUAGACAAUAUUUACACCCAAAUAAGUUCUCAUUAUAAUUAUUGAUACAUUAUUUUACAAAAAUAAUGAGGACUGCUAAAACGACUUUCUAGAACCUUCAUUCCAUACGCCGACUAGUACUCGCUACAUUCUCGCCUCCUGGGAAGAAAAAUGAAACAAAAAGGAAAAGGUUGAGCUCGACUAGCUCAGUAAAGAAUAUUAUGACUAAGAUAAUAUAGAACAAAUUAUCGUUAGUCUUCAACAGGAAAAAAUCUGAUAAAAUACAAUAGACAACAAGUUUCAGAUCAAUAUUCGCAGCAAAAAUAACAAUUCAUAGAAGAGUUACGUAGAGAAUGAAAUCUACUAUAAUCUAUGAAUUUAAAAGUCCAUCAUCAAUAUUUUAUUCCUGUAACACCAAUCAAUAUUCAUCUUGAAUCAAAUAUUACUCUUUGCACUACAGGCCAAAGAUAUUCAUCAGUUGGUCAUGUUCAUCUCAACAUCUGUACAUCUUUGCACUACGGGCCAAAGAUAUUCAUAAGAAAAUCAACCAUCUUUGCACUACAGGCCAAAGAUAUUCAGUAAUAUUAUCAUUUAGGACUGAGGAUGAUGAAAAAUAUUUUAAAGAAAACGAAUCCAGUUAAACAAAAGAACAAAUAUUAAGGAUUCGUACUUUAAACAGUCAAAGUUCAAAAAUACUUAAUAAAUAACCAUAGUGAAGUAAAAUUCAAGAAUGAUCAAAACAUGGAUAUAAUCAAAGCUAGUAUCCAUAAUCGAUAUUUUGGAAAAAAAAGCAAAAAUUUAAUUUUUUUGUGAAUAGUGCCGUAUUCGUGAAUAGUGUCGUAUACGUGAAUAGUGCCGUAUACGUGAAUAGUAACUCCGACACUAAAAGACAAGAAUUUCACAAGAAAAAUUUUACCAAUAAUCCGGUAUAAUAAUAUUAGAAGAAAUAAUAUCAUUUUUUAAAAAAAAUAACAUCCCUUACCUCGAAAAGAAUAGUACUUCUGGCUGGAAUAUCAGAUAUAACGCUGAAGGAAUUUGCACUGUAUAGCAACACUCAAAGUAUCAAAAUACUCACAAGAAUAUGCUCGAUAAUAUAGAGAGAAAAUUUCAGUUUCUGGUGUGAUUUUCAAUUUUAACCUAAGCACCUUAUUUAUAGGAAAAUGCUUAGAACACCAAAGCAGAAAAUUUAAUAAAAUAUUAAUAUUUUUAAUAAAUCUUCACGCCCACCUCUUGAAUCUGAAUUCAUCAUGUUUUCAAUGCUAGUGGGCCCACCAACAAUAACAAAAACAUUUUUCUUAAAAAUAAUAAUUAAAACUCCCAAAAAUUAAUUAUUUUGGAACUUCGGAACUUCAAUAAUUCAUAAUAAAUAGGCUUUUUGUCAGAAAAUUAAAACCUUAUGUCUUUUCCAUAGGAAAUUCCAUUAUCUACAACUUUGCAAAAGAAAUUUUUUCCAAAUUCCAAACAGAAAUUGAUCGAAAUUCACAAACGGAUGAUUAUACAGGCUAUAAUCAAAUUGCAGUCAAGAAAUGGGGUCCACAAACAUGAAAAACAUGUUUUAAAUAUUUUUAGUAAAAAAAAUACUCUUCCUCAUUAUUCAUAUAUCCCACAUUUAUUGUAAAAAUAUCAUCAUUAUUAUAUUAUUAUAAUAUAAUAAUAUAUUUAAAUGAAUUAUUUAUCAGAAAAGAUAAAAUAUCAAUUUUUCAACAAUUGUCACUUAAAAAUUUUCUCUAUCUAUGUCCACAUAAAAUGAAUAUUUUCCUUAUCAUAUAAAUCAAUAAUUAAUUAUUCACAAAUAAUAUUACAGAAUCACAAUACUAGUAACCAGGCCGUUCCUAGGAAAGAGGGGGCUUUCCAAUAAGGAUUUUUCUUUACUGGCGCGCAAUUAGGUGACCAAACCUCUCUUUAGACAGAACUUUUUAGACAUUGCCAAUAAUGUUAUCUAAUAAUAUUAUUCAAAUAAUAUGAAUUAUUGAUUCGAUAAAGGAAAAUACUGUGUAAUGACAAUUAUUGAAACAACAAUAAUAUAAAAUAUCAACGCAGCAAUUAUUGAAUCAAUAAAAUAAAAUAUUGAACAGUAAUUACUGUAACAAUUAUUGAGUAGUGCCUUCUUACGUAAGAAUUAAUAAUUGGUGCAAUACCGUGUACUACUGUGUUUUAACCACCGGGUAUUCCAACAGUAUUAACGGUAACAACUACGUCGUUAUUUAUAAAUAACUUAUACUUGUCAUUUUUUUCAUCCAACCGCUUUUCGUUAUGGGGCCCACACAAAGCUGCGCCGUCGUACGAAUAUUCCCCAACAGUAAGAAUAUUCUACGACCAAACUAAUAUUUUUCGACAACAAUAAAUAUUUUAUAACCACUUGCUUAUUUGAAAUAUUUGUGCAUUUUACCCAUAACUAACUACAUUAAUCAAAUCAACCCUUACUAUUUUAAAAUAAUAAAUAGAGGAAAUUCAAUUUCAUUAAUAAUAAGUUGGGGUCUUACAGCUUAGCUCAUCUAUUUCAUGGCCACAAAAUCUAGGUUCAUUUUCUUUUCUUUUUGAGUACAGUUAUAAUGCCUCAUGUUAUGUAUUCAUUUGAUUGAAAGUUUAUGAUAAUAUAAUACCUCAUAUUCUAUUUUUUUUUAUAUUUUUUUUAUAAUUGUAAUCAAGUACAGGUUACUUAUCAAUAAGAUACCCCCUGAUGUUUAUAAGCUGUCUAGGGAGGCAAUACUUGCAGAUGAAUUGCCUGUAGCAUUCACCACGCGAAGCAACUGGAAGGGCCCCUAUCCUCGAGAUAUCCUCUUUACAAUUUGUCAUCAGCACCGGUUAUCAGAACCUGUCUUCUCAACUAUCAAUAUCCCGUUAAAAAUGUCAGAGUUAUGUGGAUCAUACAAGAAGGGCAGCGUGCAUAUAUUGUCAACAUUUCUGGAAAUUCAACUAUUCUUCUCGUGUGCAGGUAUGGUAAUUCAACUUAAUAAUUCAUGAGUUGCCAACUGACUAAUAAGUGUUUUAGAUUUGGAAAUUAUCUUUGUAAUGAUCAUGUGUGGCUGUUGUUUCAUUUGCAGUGCAAAAAAUGCAAUAAUUCUAUGCCGUCAGGUACACAUGUUUCUUUAGUUUGUCUGUGGAUUGAAAACAAAAGUUCUUGUUGGUUGAAUGUGUAAGACCCCAACUUAUUAUUAAUGAAAUUGAAUUUUUUCUAUUUAUUAUUUUGAAAUAGUAAGGGUUGAUUUGAUUAAUGUGGUUAGUUAUGGGUAAAAUGCGCAAAUAUUUUAAAUAAGCUAGUGGUUAUAAAAUAUUCAUUGUUGUCGGAGAAUAUUAGUUUGGUCGUGGAAUAUUCUUACUGUCGGAGAAUAUUCGUACGACGGCGUAGCUUUGUGUGGGCCCCAUAACGGAAAGCGGUUGGAUGAAGAAAACGACAAGUAUAAGUUGUUUAUAAAUAACGGCGUAGUUGUUACCGUUAAUACUAUUGAAAUACACGGUGGUUAAAACACAGUAGUAUACGGUAUUGCACCAAUUAUUGAUUCUUACGUAAGAAGGCACUACUUAAUAAUUGUUACAGUAAUUAUUGUUCAAUAUUUUAUUUUAUUGAUUCAAUAAUUGCUGAGUUGAUAUUUUAUAUUAUUGUUGUUUCAAUAAUUGUCAUUACACAGUAUUUUUCUUUAUUGAAUCAAUAAUUCAUAUUAUUUGAAUAAUAUUAUUAGAUAGCAUUAUUGGCAAUGUCUAGAAAAUUUUGUCUAAGGAGAGGUUUGGUCACUUAAUUGCGCGCCAGUAAGGAGAAAUUCUUAUUGGAAAGCCUCCUCUUUCCUGGGAACGGCCUUGUUGCCUGUAUUGUGAUUCUGUAAUAUUAUUUGAGAAUAAUUAAUUAUUGAUUUAUAUGAUAAGAAAAAUAUUCAUUUUAUGUGGACAUAGAUGAAGAAAAUUUUAAAGUGACAAUUGUUGAAAAAUUGAUAUUUUAUCUUUUUUGAUAAAUAAUUCAUUUAAAUAUAUUAUUAUAUUAUAAUAAUAUAAUAAUGGUGAUAUUUUUACAAUGAAUGUGGGAUAUAUGAAUAAUGAGGAGGAAGAGUAUUUUUGUUACUAAAAAUAUUUAAAACAUGUUUUUCAUGUUUGUGGACCCCAUUUUUUGACUGAAAUUUGAUCAUAGCCUGUAAAAUCGCCCGUUUGUGUAUUUCGGUCAAUUUCUGUUUGAAAUUUGAAAAAAAUUUCUUCUGCAAAGUUGUAGAUAAUGAAAUUUCCUAUGGAAAAGACAUAAGGUACGAAUUUUUCUGACAAAAAAGCUAUUUAUUAUGAAUUCAGAUUCAAGAGGUGGGUGUAAAAAUUUAUUAAAAAUAUUAAUAUUUUAUUAAAUUUUGUGCUUUAGUGUUCUAAGCAUUUUCUUAUAAAUAGGGUGCUUAAGUUAGAAUUGAAAAUAACACUAGAAACUGAAGUUUUCUCUCUAUAUUAUCGAGCGUAUUCUUGUGAGUAUUUUUAUUACUUUGAGUGUUACUAUACGGUGCAAGUUCCUUCAGCGUUAUAUCUGAUAUUCCAGCCAGAAGUACUAUUCUUUUCGAGGUAAGGGAUGUUAUUUUCUUUUAAAAUGAUAUUAUUUCUUCUAAUAUCAUUAUGUCGGAUUAUUGGUAAAAAUUUUCUUGUGAAAUUCUUGUCUUUUAGUGUCGGAGUUACUAUUCACGUAUACGACACUAUUCACGAAUACGGCACUAUUCACAGGAAAAUUAAAAUUUUAUUUUAUUUUCCAAAAUAUCGAUUAUGGAUACUAGAUUUGAUUGUAUCCAUGUUUUGUUCAUUCUUGAAUUUUACUUCACUAUGGUUAUUUAUGAAGUAUUUUUGAACUUGGACUGUUUAAAGUACGAAUCCUUAAUAUUUGUUCUUUUGUUUCACUGGAUUCGUUUUCUUUAAAAUAUUUUUCAUCAUCCUCAGUCCUAAAUGAUGAUAUUACUGAAUGUCUUUGGCCUGUAGUGCAAAUAUGGUUGAUUUUCUUAUGAAUAUCUUUGGCCCGUAGUGCAAAGAUGUACAGGUGUUGAGAUGAACAUGACCAACUGAUGAAUAUUUUUGGCCUGUAGUGCAAGAUUAAUAUUUGAUUCAAGAUGAAUAUUGAUUGGUGUUAUAGGGAUAAAAUAUUUAUGAUAGACUUUUAAAUUCAUAGAUUAUAGUAGAUUUCAUUCUCUACGUAACUCUUCUAUGAAUUGUUAUUUCUGCUGCGAAUAUUGAUAUAAAACUUGUUGUCUAUUGUAUUUUAUUAGAUUUUUCCCUGUUGAAGACUAACGAUAAUUUGUUCUAUAUUAUCUUAGUCAUAAUAUUCUUUACUGGGCUAGUUGAGCUCACCCUUUUCUUUUUUGUUCCAUUUUUCUUCUCAGGAGACGAGAAUAUAGCGAGUACUAGUCGGGGUAUGGAAUGAAGGUUCUAGAAAGUCGUUUUAGUAGUCCUCACCAUUUUUGUAAAAUAAUGUAUCAAUAAUUAUAAUGAGGACUUAUUUGAGUUUGAAUAUUGUCUAGAUGACAAUAUUUGUAUUUAAACUCACAGUUUAUGUGUUGUAUUAAUAAAGUUGUAGAUGUUUCUGUACCAUAUUAUUGACAACUUAAAAUGGGUGAUGUAUACCUAUUUUGGGGGAGUCACAGAAUGUUUGACCUUUCCUUUGUAAGAAUUAGUUUUGCUAUUACUCAAUAUUUUCUGAGACAUUAUAAUUUUUUCUCUUCUGUUGCUAUAAAGGUUUUCUUACCAGUUUACCAGUUUUUCCAGAUAAAUCUCUUUAGAUUAUGUUUGGUUCAAAUGCUACUACAUAUUUUUCUUUCACAAGUC